Molecule: long non-coding RNA, 3278 nt
Organism: Gasterosteus aculeatus aculeatus (three-spined stickleback)
Lineage: Eukaryota; Metazoa; Chordata; Actinopteri; Perciformes; Gasterosteidae
Source: Ensembl
CACGCGAUGAUGGUCACAUGAUCACAGGUGAAAGAUGACUAGAAAUAGAAUCCAAUGAAGUCAUCAGUCUCUCAAAUCUAAUGCCUGGAAGUCAUUAACAUUCUUCAGUCUGAAGGAGGCACACACAAGAGACACACUCACACAAGAGACACACUCCAUAUUUUAGACUUUAAUCUUCAAUAUUUGGACACUCGAAACUACAGAACUCACGGUAAAUUCAACAGCUGGAAUAACACUGGGAUAACAUUAUAUAAAAGUGAAUAGAACCACCUGGAAUAUAUCACAAUGUCCAUCCAGGGCCACAAGGUCAUGGGGCCACAUCACCCAACUCCUCCCCAAGUGGAGAGGACCAAUGCAAACAGAGCCAGUCGCUACAGAGGGCUGAUCAACCCGCGACAAAAGGAACAGCAGAUAUCACAAAAGACACUGCGCAGACCUUGGGUUCCACCGAGCCACAAUGACUUGGGCAAACUAUGUUUGUAUGUGGAAACAAGUCGUCUGGAGAGGAGCGAUGAUGAAAGAAGAAACCUGGCAAAGGAUGAAUACCAGGAUGUUCUGAGGACAAGACCGAGUGUAUGGGAAGAGGUCGAGGCUGUACACGAUGAGAGAAACAUUCAGAGUAAACUUGUACAGAAUGAAUUGGGGGAAGAUCGACGUCUCAAAAUGGAAAAACUACCUCGAAUUCUUCACAAACGCAUGGCAAUGGAUGAAUACCAAGAUCUUCUGGGGACAAGACCGAGUUUAUGGGAAGAGGUUGAGGCCCUACACGAUGAGAGAAACAUUCAGAGGAAACAGAAUGAAUUGGGGGGAAAUCGACUACUCAAGCUUCGACAACAGCAGAUAUCACAAGAGACACUGCUCAGACCUUGGGAGAAGGGAACUGUUGUAAUUGAGACAGUGAAAGAGUUGGACAACUUCAAGGUGUCCACCCAGGGCCACAAGGUCAUGGGACCACAACACCCAACUCCUCCCCAAGUGGAGAGGACCAAUGCAAAUAGAGCCAGUCGCUACAGAGGGCUGAUCAACCCGCGACAAAAGGAACAGCAGAUAUCACAAGAGACACUGCGCAGACCUUGGGUUCCACCGGGCCAAAAUGACUUGGGCAAACUACGUCCAACUCCCCCACAAAAAGGGGUGAGGACGAAAACACAAACUGGCACUCAGUACAGAAGGCUGAUCAACCCAACAGAGUCCUCUGUGGAAACAGGUUGUCUGCAGAGGGGCGAUGAGGGAAGAAGAAACCUGGCAAAGGAUGAAUACCAGGAUGUUCUAGGGAGAAGACCGAGUGUAUGGGAAGAGGUCGAGGCCGUACACGAUGAGAGAAACAUUCAGAGUAAACUUGUACAGAAGGAAUUGGGGGAAGAUCGCCGAAGACUUGUAAACAGAGUCAAAAUACGUUUAGCAAGGCGGUAAGAGAUGCUAAACGACUGUACUCUGAGAAACUCCAACAACAGUUCUCAGCAAGUGACUCUGAUUCGGUUUGGAGAGGCCUCAAACACCUCACUAACUACAAGCCAAAAACCCCCCACUCCAUGAAUGACCUCCACCUGGCAGACGAGUUGAAUGAGUUCUACUGCAGAUUCGAAAGACAAGGUCCUGAUCCCAUCCCCCACAGCUCCACCAACCUGCCCCAGUCCCCUACCCCUCCCUCCCCCAGCCCAUCAGGUGCUCACGCCUCUUCAUCUAUAUCACCUUCCCCUCCCCCACCAGCAACGACCCUCUCUAUUCUGGAGAGAGACGUUGACCGGCAAGGCAGCCGGACUCCGUCUCCCCUCACACCCUGAAGCAUUGUGCUGACCAGCUGUCUCCGGUGUUCACUGACAUCUUCAACACCUCCCUGGAGACAUGCCACAUACCAGCCUUCUUCAAGGCCUCCACCAUCAUCCCUGUUCCCAAGAAGCCCAGGAUCACAGGACUCAAUGACUACAGGCCCGUCGCCCUGACCUCUGUAGUCAUGAAGUCUUUUGAACGGCUAGUCCUGACCCACCUGAAGUCCCUCACCCCCCGUCCUAGACCCCCUGCAGUUCGCCUACAGAGCCAACAGGUCUGUAGAUGAUGCUGUCAACAUGGCCCUCCACUACAUCCUCCAGCAUCUGGACUCCCCAGGAACCUACGCCAGGAUCCUGUUUGUGGACUUCAGCUCUGCUUUCAACACCAUCAUCCCGUCUCUGCUGCAGGACAAACUCUCCCAGCUGCACGUGCCCGACUCCACCUGCAAGUGGAUCACAGACUUCCUGUCUGACAGGAAGCAGCACGUGAAGCUGGGGAAACAUGUCCCAGCCUCUCGGACCAUCAGCACCGGUUCCCCCCAAGGCUGCGUUCUUUCCCCUCUGCUCUUCUCCCUGUAGACCAACAGCUGCACCUUCAAUCACCAGUCCGUCAAGCUCCUGAAGUUUGCGGAUGACACCACCCUCACUGGACUCAUCUCUGGUGGGGAUGAGUCCGCCUACAGGUGGGAGUCUGACCAUCUGGUGUCGUGGUGCAGCCAGAACAACCUGGAGCUCAACGCUCUAAAGACAGUGGAGAUGGUUGUGGAUUUCCGGAGGAACAGAGCCCCACCCUCCCCCAUCACCCUGUGUGACUCCCCCGCCACUAUUGUGGAUUCCUUCCGUUUCCUGGGCUCCAUCAUCACCCAGGACCUCAAGUGGGAGCUGAAGUGAAGAACUGGCUAAACGUUUUUGGUUUGGUUUACUCCGUGUGCUACGGUUUUCCCAAAAAAACUUUAAAUCAAUCAGACUAAUGUAAUCAAGUUAAGAUAAGACAUAAUUUGGUAGUUUACACUAUGGCCGUGCCGUCGGAUGGUUGUCGUUCUGUUAAACUGGUUGAAUCUUUUUUAGUGGGUUUACUCCGUGUGCUACGGUUUUCCCAAAAAAAUCAGAUGAGCAUACUCUCUGGGCCCCCCUCCGUGAUCCUUACAACCAGGACGAAUUGUUUCACAGUCCACUCAUCAGCACUGGUGGAUAAAGCUUCAGGAAGAACUGGUCAAAGAGCUCCGACGGCUGGGACGAUUCAGCUACCUUUCAGACUACCCUGGCAACGUGUUUUUUCCACAGCACAUAGAAAAAAAUCUAGCCAUUUAAAAAUAUAUAUUUGGCACCUUUGAGCAACUUUUGUAAAGUGACUCGAAUGCUAAAUUGCACCCAUUUUCCCUUCAAAUGACACAAAAAUAUGUGCUUGGCUGCAAAAGUGCAUUGUGCGUGACUUGAACAGCAGGCGCUCAGCUCGUGCACAACAGCCUGGAGACAGCUGGAAAGAGAUGCCUAGUGCACACAUCAUCA